GCGUCCGCCGCCCCGAACUGCCGUCGUCCCGCUGUAAAACGAGACGUGAGGGCCCUGUCUAGCCGUGGCUUGCUGGCAGGCUCCCAAAGUGAAGAAAAAAGUGAAGAAAAGCCCCCGGCCCAUCCAACAGCUGCAGCAGGUUGCUGUCCCUGGGUCCCUCACCAGCCUGGACCCUGCGGACCACAUCAGGCCCAUUGCACAGUGUUUAACAGCCGGAGCGUCCUUAACAGGAUUUACAUCUAACAGCAUUACGGGUUCUUUCCAACCAGGCCUCACCAAUUCUGUCCUCAGCUCACCUACGAUGAGAAAGCAGAGCAUCUGUGCUGUUUCCUGAUUGUACAAAAUACUGGGAAAUGCUGCCGCAGACUGGAAUCUCCAUCAGAUUGCCAGAUGUCCUGAAUAUCCAGAAUUCUGUCUUUGCCUUUCUCAUUUUACCUGGUAUCUGGGGGUAAAUGAGACUUAGAGCCUCACGGAGCAGACUGGUGGAUGGGGCUGCUGGUCCCUUCCUUUACGUUUGCCAUCCACGUUGCAUUGGUUCACAGAAUUGCAGGGGUUGGAAGGGACCUCGAGAUCAUCAAGUCCCACCCCCCUGCUAAAGCAGGCUCCCCACAGUAGCUCUCACAGGGAGGCAUCCAGAUGCCCAGCAUGGAUUGAUUUCUGUCUGUGAAGAUUUCUUACUUGAGGCUGUUCCUUGGAUCUGCACUUUCCGGUCUGUACCAAGGCUCAGACAGUGCACGGACUUUGGGACAUAAUCCUGGUUUCUGGGGACUCAGCACUGAAAAUGCCUUUGUGCUGGAGGCAGCCUGCAUUUGGAGGUCAGGAACAUCCAGGCCCCUUAUUUCAUCUGUACUGAGAACUUAAGCUCAUUCAAAACUCUCUGCUCUCCUUGCUUUGCUCAAACUCAACCAGUAUGUUUUAGCAGGUGUAUUUACUUCUGAAACAUGUUUGUUUAGUCUAUAAUUUCAUCGUGCCCCUGGUAUUGCCUUGCUGCCAGUGACUCGCUGCUGGGAAGCAUCAAUGCAGAGGGAUGGAGAACGUGUCGUGUUGAAGUUACUAAGCUGAGGUGCUUCCAAGAAUGAAAAAAGGUGUUUGAACAAAUGUGUUUUCAUCCGACCUUCAGUAAAUCUUCUGACUUCAUUUUUCCUCCUGCAAAUUAGGCUGACAUGCUGACCCAGUCAGGCAGCACAAGUGGGAUCCAGGUCCUCCCGUUGCUGAAGGAAGCUGCAGGAACGAGGCUGCAGGAUUAAGGAGGAAGCGGAGGUUUUAAUGAAGCAGACUCCAUUCUUUGGUGGGGUGAAGGGAGCUGUCUCGUGGUGCCCCCUCGAGGUGGAGAGCUGCUCGUUUCAUUCACUGUUUAGAGCAGCUGGGAUGCGAACUGGAAGCGCAGCCCUUGCUGAAGAAGCUGAGAAAUCAGUUUGCUUUGGAAAAGAACCGUUGCAGUAACUCCACGCAAAGUUGGUGGGUUCUGGAUUCCAUUUAAAAGCGCACACUGAUCCCUCUGCCUCCAACUUUUUUGUAAUAGCCAAAGGUGUUUCUCCCCUGUGUGAGAGCUGAUCAAAGUUAAAGGCUGCCUGCUUGCAUGAGGGCAGGGACACACUUCCCACAGUGUGCUCAUUUCCCUUGAAGUCUAGGAUAUGUUUGGGUAAUAAGGGGAUCCGAAACCUCGAUGCAUUAGGAAGGCCAGCCUCUGGCUUCAAGUUAAAUAGAGGGCCCUGUGCCUGUGGGAGAAAGCCUUGCAUGGCCUGGGAAGCUGAGCGGAGGGAUGCAAGCACUGCUGCUCUGUGAAGGACUACAAACUGCAGGCUUCCUGUUAACAGCAAUUAUCAGAUGAUUUGGUUGGAAACAUCUUUUGCCAUGCGACGGCAGAUUCUCCUUUCCAAAGGCCUCAUCUUAAAUCCAACAAGGAGUGAGGAUUAUCAGUGCCAUAAGUCCUUUCGGGUCAUUGAAUGCAUUACAUUUGUUCUGGACUGAGAUGGGUAGAAGCUGAGUGUUUUGGGGCAAGGACUCCAUCUGACAGAUGAGUAUGCUGUGGGUGCGCGCUGUUUUAUCACUAGGCUACCGUUCUGCUGAGUGGGAUGAAUUUCACCUGUGUCCACUUUGCUGUCACCUUUUCACAGGAUCUUUCUGAGUCAUCCCAGGCUCCUCCCACCCGAUACGGGUUAGACACAGGAGGCAAUUGCUGGCUGUAUUUUGUCAAAGUCCUUUCAGACUUCCUGCCACACCAAAUUGUCCCAACAGCAGCACUCACUGGAAGUCUGUUAUGUUCAUUGGACCAACAUUGUUUCAGCUGCACCCUUCAGGCCAGAUAACCACAGAAGGCUUGAGAUGGCCUUGCUUUCAGAAUUAGGAGGCAGUGGAGGCUGUGGCUACCAGAGAAGGCAGCUCACACAGAUUAGGUGCAACAAAGUGGGCUGAUGAAUGCUGCACCUUAGCAAGUGGCCUUUUUUUCCUCCUCAUAGCAAGACAGCUGUGGUCUUCAGAGACACUUGGGGAACAAGAUUUCCUGAAGGGUUUUUCUUUUUUGGUCUGAUUUUCUUCUGCUUUUACUAUAGAAGGCAGACUUCAUGAACUACAGCACCUCCUCUGUCCAUCUUUUAUGUGCAGCUUGGUUUUGGAGGUUGGAAGGUUUUUUCAUCCAUUGAUUUUGUGCUCAUCGUGGAUAUGUUUUAAAAACACUCUUAAAAAAAAAAAAAAAAAAGUCCCUACUUCUCAUGGAUAAAUUUUGAUGGGGAUGGUGGGAAAUAAAUGUAAACAACUGCUGAAUGACAUGCGGAAUCUGAUAGCACAAAUCCCCUCUGCAGAGCUGUAAAUUGACUCAAAGCUCCUGUUGUGUGGAAAAGAACUCUUGGGCCCAACGAGGGGUAAGAUGUUAAUAAAACCUUUGUUCACUGUUACAAUAGGGAGCAGCUAAGUGUGGUUUGGGGUUUCUGCCAAGUUAACCCUGACUUAUUCCCAUUGUCAGAAGCACUGCUAAGAAACCCUUUAAUGUGUUAUUAAGGGUGAAAUAUGAAAAAUAGUAUUUUUCGUUUCCAAUGCUCUAUUUAAAGCAGAAGUGUUCAUUGUAAGAACAUCCUUUAUUCCCUUUCCCCACUGCUACACUCAGUGCUUUAAAGAAAAUUCACAUUUUGUGUGGCACUAAUUUUCUUCUUGUUGGAAAAAAAGUUGCUUAUGUGGUCUGAAACUGCCACCAUCUUUAAUAUGGCCAGAGUCUUAUUUUCUUUAAGAGGAAAGUGCAGGUGUUCUGAGCCCCUAAACACAUGCUAACCUGGCUUACUUGAUUGUUCCUUUGCCUGUGGCCUGUUAGUCGCUGCCCAACCAUGGUCUCUUGCUGUUCUCAGCUCCUUAGGUCAGGAUGCAUGUGCAGUGCAUUCAGAUCCAUGCACGGGUUUGCAAUGGUAGCUCAAAUAAUAAUCAAGUUGUGAAAAAUAAGACAGUAUGCAUUUCAACAAGUUCAAUUUUUUUUUCUCCAGUGAAGAAAGGUGAGAGAAAGAAAGCUUCUGUCUGCAGUCCUGCCUUUUAUUUGCAACUGCGCUGCUAGGGAUUCAGAGGCUGUGGAAGGCAGCAUUUCGAUGUAUCUCCACUAGAGGCCAAGCGUGGUGUGAUGACACCUGGUGUCAUCUUGGCAACCAGGGAAAAAAUAAAGGAGGUGGAAGGUCUAAGCUGGGCAUUCUGGUGGAGUCGAGGUGUCUUGGGAGCUGAGUGCACAGAGCUCCAGCCAUACGUUUAAAAGCAGCCUGGUGUCACAGCCACAUUCCUUCCAGCCCUCAUAACCUUUCCUUGCCCUCUGUGCCACCCGCUCAUCUGAAGAAAGGUGGCAUCUAACCAAAACACACUUUGGGUGCUUUCAAUUAUAAAUGUUUACUCCAUUCUCAAAAUGUUUUCACUCGUUUUCUUGGCAGGACCUUGAGGAUCUCUCUGGAGAGUUCUGUUCACGUAGAUAUGCACAAAAGGAACAGUUUAUCUCCAGCUCCUGCUGACUUCCAUGAAUAAUUUGUUGUAAAAGCUAAGUUGGACUUCUGCAGUCUUGAGUAACUUUGGAGUACCAGCUUCUAAUAUUCCAGCCACAGACUUAAGCAGCCUUUCUACUUUUAGAGGCCAAAGCGGCCUCUCUGAUCUCCACUUACUGUAACCACCUUGGAAAUUCCCACUCCUUUUCCCUCCUUUUGGGUUCCCCAUAAAACCAAGGGCUCCUCACUGGCAGAACUUCCCUUCUGAAUUAAAACUUAAACAAAGAUUUGAUGGAACGUGAUCUUUACUGUUUCUUCUUCAUCUCUCAAAGUGCAUGCCAGGAAAGACUGUGCUGACAUAGGAAGGUGGGCAGCUGUUUCACAGGGUGUAUUCAUACACCCAGUCUCACUGAAGGCAAACAGAAUUGCUUAUCUGAGUAAUGCCACACAUGUGCCUGAGUGAUUGCAAAGGACUGAAAGGAGUUGGGAGUAGAAAUAAUGGCACUGCUUCAUCUCUCACAGAGCAGCGCCAACAAAAUAAUGAAGCUGCAUGAAUAAAGAACCAACAUAAUAAUCGGGCUGCCAGCAUUUUUGGAAAAUUAGCACUUCUUCCAUAACAGUAACGGCUGCUGGGAAAAUGGUACAAAAUAUAACUGUCAGGUUAAGCACACCUUAAUCAACAUGCGCCGAGUCCCACUGAUGUGUCCUCAAAACUGUUACUUAAGUACUUGUUAAAGCCAAUUAAAUAAACAAAAUUUUACAGCCUAAUAGCAUAAACCACAUAAAUAACAUAAAAGAGCCAUAAUGGCUGAAUGGGUGAGUGUUUAGCCCUUCCUGAUUUAAAACAGUGAAGUGAAAAAUGUUGCAGCCCUUGAAGGUGAUUUUGAAGACGAGGAAGUGACUGUGCUACACAAACAGCAAUCAGAGACAAUUAAGAGAACUGGGACAAGUGCCUCAUUCUCUCCACAGACUGCAUGGGAAAUUGCACUUUACAUUUCAGUCUCGUUGCAUUUAAAAUAAGGCCCCCAGCUAUGUCAUUUUUCAAGUCCAACUCAAAUCAAAAGAUAUUGCUUAAAAUCUUCCUAUUACUCCAGAAGUGAAAAGAAUGAUUGUCUAUGCUGAUGAGCCCAGAAGAUUGUCUUGCAAAGACUUUGGCAGUUUUGUCUCCCAGUCAUUAUAAUGUUAUUACUGCUCCUGAAGAAGACUGACAGAGCCUGAAUGCCACAAUAAGUACUGGGGCAGUUUAGGGUAGCUGCAGAUUUCAUGUUGUUUCCCUGCCAGCAGAGAAACUGUGCUGUGCUGUGUGUCUGUUUUCUUUUAGAGCUUCAUCUGAUGAAGAAUCUUCGACUGCACAGAAACAAAACAACAGAAAAUAAAGGCAAGCUAAAAACAGCCCAUAAAAAAAUUGAAAGAAUGCAAAUAGGGAAUUUUGGCAGUAAUGCAAUUAGACAUGUCUGUAUAUAAUUAUAACCUGUAUAAAUAUAACCCUAUCCAUAGACAGGUCCCUAGCACACACAGCCCUUGGGCAGCACCUGCUCGAAACCUUUCUGGUAAGCAUGGAAAGAUUUCAGUACAAAAUGGAGAAGUGUUCUGAAGCGGUCAGGUUGCCUCGCUUUGGCAGUCAUUGUUUUGUGAGGACAGGAGCACACUGAGCUUUCGGAGCUCAUACAGCUCCUCUGAUUUGUCUUAAAUUGUGAUGCCUAGAAAUGAGCACCUCAGCUUUAAAGGUGCUUAAAGGCAGAUGUAAGUGACCAGCUUUCCCAUGGUGCAAACCAUAGAGCCAUCUAGGAUGUAAAGGACCUGUAGGGUCAGUCAAACCAGCUGCCAGUCAAACUAGCAGCCUGACCUACCAGGUCCCAUUGCUAUGCCGUGUCCAGCAGUGCCACAUCCACACUGCUGCCUCCUUCAGCAGCCCGUUCCAAAGCUUAACCACCUGCUCUGUGAAGAAAAUACUCUUAAUGUCCAAUCUAAACUUCCCUUGGUGCGACUGGAGCCUGUUUCCUCACAUCCUGUCACGUUACCUGGGAAAAGAGACCAACACCCUCCUUGCUGCAAACUCCUUUCAGACAGCUCUAGAGCACGAUGAGGCCUCCCCUCAGCCUCCUCUUCUCCAGAACGAGCAGCCCCAGUUCCUUCAGCUGCUCUGUCUUUUGGAUUUGGAGACGUAAGGAGCAGCAGAGUACGAGUAUCAUUAAUAUGUUUAUUUUUUAAAGUUGUUUUUUUUCCUAAUGGAAAAGGCUCCAAAAAUAAAUUUUAAUUAAAAGGAUAGUUAAUGCCAAAUAUAAGAAAUUAUUAAUUUUUAAAAAGUCAAUUACAAGAUUUCUUCACUCAGAUACAAUCAACUGCAUACACCGGGUAGUCUUAUAAAACAAGAAAACAAGAACUUAAAUCAAUUAUUUUCUGAUGAAAGAUGUAACUUGUACUUUUUUCUGUGUAACGAUUGAAUAAGAGAGAAAUUAUGGUUGCAGUGAUGACCUGGUGCUCGCUCCCUCUGUCCAAUGGGUAAGCUACCUCAAUUCCUGAAAAAAGUAAUGCCCUGUUGGUCUCUGAGGACUUCAGGGCAAAUAAGCUUCUUGAAACUAAGAUGGGUUUGGGAAGGAAGCCACCUGUAAAUUCUAACAAACCCAGCAACACAGCGGAGUGUCAGAAUUCGAGUCUAUCUGAAUCAGCAGUCAUACAUGGAACUGUGGAAAAGAGAAAUGCUGCAAGCCACGAGUCCUGCUCCCCAAAGCAUCUCCUGGUACCAAGACUCACGAUGGACUUCCUAGCAGCAACUUCAUCCGUUUCAGUGGGACUUCUUUGGAGCAUUCAGUGAACGAUGGCAAAGUUGAGUCCUAAGCUGUUGCUUUAAAAAAGCUUUAGGAAAAAUAUACUUAACGGCAAAUGCUGCUCUCAAUAAAAUCAAUGGGAGUUUUGUGACUUGAUUUUUA
Molecule: long non-coding RNA, 6877 nt
Organism: Centrocercus urophasianus (Greater sage-grouse)
Lineage: Eukaryota; Metazoa; Chordata; Aves; Galliformes; Phasianidae
Exons: 4
Source: RefSeq, a predicted model, not a curated record